UCCUCAAUAGCUCAGUCGGUAGAGCAUGCGGCUGUUAACCGCAGGGUCGU
Molecule: transfer RNA, 50 nt
Filed under: Ruminiclostridium sp.
Lineage: Bacteria; Bacillati; Bacillota; Clostridia; Eubacteriales; Oscillospiraceae
Description: tRNA-Asn
Rfam family: tRNA
About the family: Transfer RNA (tRNA) molecules are approximately 80 nucleotides in length. Their secondary structure includes four short double-helical elements and three loops (D, anti-codon, and T loops).
Source: RNAcentral